GUGGGGAAUAUUGCACAAUGGGCGCAAGCCUGAUGCAGCGACGCCGCGUGAGUGAAGAAGUAUUUCGGUAUGUAAAGCUCUAUCAGCAGGGAAGAAAAUGACGGUACCUGACUAAGAAGCCCCGGCUAACUACGUGCCAGCAGCCGCGGUAAUACGUAGGGGGCAAGCGUUAUCCGGAUUUACUGGGUGUAAAGGGAGCGUAGACGGAAUGGCAAGUCUGAUGUGAAAGGCGGGGGCUCAACCCCUGGACUGCAUUGGAAACUGUUAUUCUUGAGUGCCGGAGAGGUAAGCGGAAUUCCUAGUGUAGCGGUGAAAUGCGUAGAUAUUCGGAGGAACACCAGUGGCGAAGGCGGCUUGCUGGGCUCUAACUGACGCUGAGGCUCGAAAGUGUGGGGAGCAAACAGG
Molecule: ribosomal RNA, 405 nt
Filed under: uncultured bacterium
Lineage: Bacteria
Description: bacterial SSU rRNA
Rfam family: Bacterial small subunit ribosomal RNA
Source: RNAcentral